GGAAGCGUAGCAAAGUUGGUCUAUGCGUUGGACUAAAAAUCCAAAGAUGGUGGCUUGUUUCCACCCGCUUCCA
Molecule: transfer RNA, 73 nt
Filed under: Chitinophagales bacterium
Lineage: Bacteria; Pseudomonadati; Bacteroidota; Chitinophagia; Chitinophagales
Description: tRNA-Phe
Rfam family: tRNA
About the family: Transfer RNA (tRNA) molecules are approximately 80 nucleotides in length. Their secondary structure includes four short double-helical elements and three loops (D, anti-codon, and T loops).
Source: RNAcentral